UGAGGAAUAUUGGUCAAUGGGCGAGAGCCUGAACCAGCCAAGUAGCGUGAAGGAUGAAGGUCCUACGGAUUGUAAACUUCUUUUGUGCGGGGAUAAAGUGAGGGACGUGUCCCUUAUUGCAGGUACCGCACGAAUAAGGACCGGCUAAUUCCGUGCCAGCAGCCGCGGUAAUACGGAAGGUCCGGGCGUUAUCCGGAUUUAUUGGGUUUAAAGGGAGCGCAGGCCGUCCUUUAAGCGUGCUGUGAAAUGCCGCGGCUCAACCGUGGCACUGCAGCGCGAACUGGAGGACUUGAGUACGCACGAGGUAGGCGGAAUUCGUGGUGUAGCGGUGAAAUGCUUAGAUAUCACGAAGAACUCCGAUUGCGAAGGCAGCUUACCGGAGCGCAACUGACGCUGAGGCUCGAAAGCGCGGGUAUCGAACAGGAUUAGAUACCCUGGUAGUCCGCGCGGUAAACGAUGGAUGCCCGCCGUUGGGAUUUGGAUUUCAGCGGCCAAGCGAAAGCGUUAAGCAUCCCACCUGGGGAGUACGCCGGCAACGGUGAAACUCAAAGGAAUUGACGGGGGCCCGCACAAGCGGAGGAACAUGUGGUUUAAUUCGAUGAUACGCGAGGAACCUUACCCGGGCUUAAAUUGCAAAGGAAUAAUCUGGAAACAGAUUAGUCUUCGGACCUUUGUGAAGGUGCUGCAUGGUUGUCGUCAGCUCGUGCCGUGAGGUGUCGGCUCAAGUGCCAUAACGAGCGCAACCCCUGUCCAUAGUUGCCAUCAGGUCGUGCUGGGCACUCUGUGGAGACUGCCGCCGUAAGGUGUGAGGAAGGUGGGGAUGACGUCAAAUCAGCACGGCCCUUACGUCCGGGGCUACACACGUGUUACAAUGGGGCAUACAGCGAGUUGGAUGUGCGCAAGUACGUCCGGAUCAAUAAAGUGCCUCUCAGUUCGGACUGGGGUCUGCAACCCGACCCCACGAAGCUGGAUUCGCUAGUAAUCGCGCAUCAGCCAUGGCGCGGUGAAUACGUUCCC
This 1017-nucleotide ribosomal RNA is filed under the name uncultured bacterium. Its description in RNAcentral is "bacterial SSU rRNA". It matches the Rfam family "Bacterial small subunit ribosomal RNA", at positions 355 to 1375 of the family's 1533-position model. The record is from RNAcentral.